This is a long non-coding RNA of Prionailurus viverrinus (fishing cat), 422 nucleotides long. RefSeq lists it as uncharacterized. NCBI's taxonomy places the organism in Eukaryota, Metazoa, Chordata, Mammalia, Carnivora, Felidae. The transcript has 4 exons. The record is from RefSeq and is a predicted model, not a curated record.
UCUACCUCCCCUUCCUUCCUUCUUUCCUUCCUACCAAAAUCAUAAGGUCCCCACUCUUCACUGCCUUCCAGAAACAGCCAUCCUUUUACAGAACCAUCGUCUUCUCCAGCAGAUGUCCGCGAAGAUGAGGAAGACCACGAGCAGCGUGAGCGCAGCCAGCAUCCAGCUCCGGAACUGCAGCUGCAUGCUGUGACUUCUCUGUUCAUGAAAACUUUGCUGGCGACCUCUAUCAGCUGAGUGAUAUUCAUCCUGGCAAAGACCUCCAACUUCUGGAGUUUUCUUCUGAUAUCUGGGAAGCCUGUGCCACAAAAGAGGGAUUUUUGGAGCCACAAGAUCUCAAUAGUGGUAGAAAGCUGAAAAAAGAAACAGUGAAAAUCAAUAAAGACUCAGAAAACGUUUUGAAGUAAACAUAUAUGUGUGAA